CCUACGGGAGGCAGCAGUGAGGAAUAUUGCACAAUGGGGGAAACCCUGAUGCAGCGACGCCGCGUGAGCGACGAAGCCCUUCGGGGUGUAAAGCUCUUUCGGCAGGGACGAUAAUGACGGUACCUGCAGAAGAAGCUGCGGCUAACUACGUGCCAGCAGCCGCGGUAAUACGUAGGCAGCGAGCGUUGUUCGGAAUUACUGGGCGUAAAGCGUGCGUAGGCGGUCGGCUAAGUUUGGUGUGAAAUCUCCCGGCUCAACCGGGAGGGUGCGCCGAAAACUGGCGGGCUAGAGUGCGGGAGAGGGAAGUGGAAUUCCUGGUGUAGCGGUAAAAUGCGUAGAUAUCAGGAGGAACACCCGUGGCGAGGGCGGCUCCCGGGCCAUGGCCUGACGCUGAGGUGCGAAAGCCAGGGGAGCGAACGGGAUUAGAUACCCCGGUAGU
This 439-nucleotide ribosomal RNA is filed under the name uncultured Bryobacterales bacterium. Its description in RNAcentral is "partial 16S ribosomal RNA". It matches the Rfam family "Bacterial small subunit ribosomal RNA", at positions 338 to 794 of the family's 1533-position model. The record is from RNAcentral. Lineage: Bacteria; Pseudomonadati; Acidobacteriota; Terriglobia; Bryobacterales.